UGUCUUGGCUAAUGUGUCUUGGCUAAGGUGUCUUGGCUAAUGUGUCUCGGCUAAGGUGUCUUGGCUGAGGUGUCUUGGCUAAUGUGUCUUGGCUAAGGUGUCUUGGCUAAGGUGUCUUGGCUAAUGUGUCUUGGCUAAAGUGUCUUGGCUAAGGUGUCUUGGCUAAUGUGUCUUGGCUAAGGUGUCUUGGCUAAGGUGUCUUGGCUAAUGUGUCUUGGCUAAGGUGUCUUGGCUAAGGUGUCUUGGCUAAGGUGUCUUGGCUAAGGUGUCUUGGCUAAUGUGUUUCGGCUAAGGUGUCUUGGCUAAUGUGUCUUGGCUAAGGUGUCUUGGCUAAUGUGUCUUGGCUAAUGUGUCUUGGCUAAUGUGUCUUGGCUAAGGUGUCUUGGCUAAUGUGUCUUGGCUAAUGUGUCUUGGCUAAGGUGUCUUGGCUAAGGUGUCUUGGCUAAGGUGUCUUGGCUAAGGUGUCUUCGCUAAGGUGUCUCGGCUAAGGUGUCUUGGCUAAUGUGUCUUGGCUAAGGUGUCUUGGCUAAGGUGUCUUGGCUAAGAUGCUUGGCUAAUGUGUCUUGGCUAAUGUGUCUUGGCUUAUGUGUCUUGGCUAAUGUGUCUUGGCUAAUGUGUCUUGGCUAAGGUGUCUUGGCUAAUGUGUCUUGGCUAAUGUGUCUUGGCUAAGGUGUCUUGGCUAAUGUGUCUCGGCUAAGGUGUCUUAACUAAUGUGUCUUGGCUAAUGUGUCUUGGCUAAGGUGUCUUGGCUAAUGUGUCUUGGCUAAUGUGUCUCGGCAAAGGUGUCUUGGCUAAUGUGUCUUGGCUAAGGUGUCUUGGCUAAUGUGUCUUGGCUAAUGUGUCUUGGCUAAGGUGUCUUGGCUAAUGUGUCUUGGCUAAGGUGUCUAGGCUAAGGUGUCUUGGCUAAGGUGUCUUGGCUAAUGUGUCUUGGCUAAUGUGUCUUGGCUAAGGUGUCUUGGCUAAGGUGUCUUGGCUAAGGUGUCUCGGCUAAUGUGUCUUGGCUAAUGUGUCUUGGCUAAUGUGUCUUGGCUAAUGUGUCUUGGCUAAUGUGUCUUGGCUAAGGUGUCUUGGGUUAUGUGUCUUGGCUAAGGUGUCUUGGCUAAGGUGUCUUGGCUAAUGUGUCUUGGCUAAUGUGUCUUGGCUAAUGUGUCUUGGCUAAGGUGUCUUGGCUAAGGUGUCUUGGCUAAUGUGUCUUGGCUAAGGUGUCUUGGCUAAUGUGUCUUGGCUAAGGUGUCUUGGCUAAUGUGUCUUGGCUAAGGUGUCUUGGCUAAGGUGUCUUGGCUAAGGUGUCUUGGCUAAUGUGUCUUGGCUAAGGUGUCUUGGCUAAGGUGUCUUGGCUAAGGUGUCUUGGCUAAUGUGUCUCGGCUAAGGUGUCUUGGCUAAUGUGUCUUGGCUAAUGUGUCUUGGCUAAGGUGUCUUGGCUAAUGUGUCUUGGCUAAUGUGUCUUGGCUAAUGUGUCUUGGCUAAUGUGUCUUGGCUAAGGUGUCUUGGCUAAUGUGUCUUGGCUAAUGUGUCUUGGCUAAUGUGUCUUGGCUAAUGUGUCUUGGCUAAUGUGUCUUGGCUAAGGUGUCUCGGCUAAUGUGUCUUGGCUAAUGUGUCUUGGCUAAUGUGUCUUGGCUAAGGUGUCUUGGCUAAUGUGUCUUGGCUAAGGUGUCUUGGCUAAUGUGUCUUGGCUAAGGUGUCUUGGCUAAUGUGUCUCGGCUAAUGUGUCUUGGCUAAUGUGUCUUGGCUAAUGUGUCUUGGCUAAGGUGUCUUGGCUAAGGUGUCUUGGCUAAGGUGUCUUGGCUAAUGUGUCUUGGCUAAUGUGUCUCGACUAAGGUGUCUUGGCUAAUGUGUCUUGGCUAAGGUGUCUUGGCUAAGGUGUCUUGGCUAAGGUGUCUUGGCUAAUGUGUCUUGGCUAAGGUGUCUUGGCUAAGGUGUCUUGGCUAAGGUGUCUUGGGUAAUGUGUCUCGGCUAAUGUGUCUUGGCUAAGGUGUCUUGGCUAAUGUGUCUUGGCUAAGGUGUCUUGGAUAAUGUGUCUUGGCUAAUGUGUCUUGGCUAAGGUGUCUUGGCUAAUGUGUCUUGGCUAAGGUGUCUUGGCUAAUGUGUCUUGGCUAAUGUGUCUUGGCUAAGGUGUCUUGGAUAAUGUGUCUUGGCUAAUGUGUCUUGGCUAAUGUGUCUUGGCUAAUGUGUCUUGGCUAAUGUGUCUUGGCUAAUGUGUCUUGGCUAAUGUGUCUUGGCUAAGGUGUCUUGGCUAAGGUGUCUUGGCUAAGGUGUCUUGGCUAAGGUGUCUUGGCUAAUGUGUCUUCGCUAAUGUGUCUUGGCUAAGGUGUCUUGGCUAAUGUGUCUUGGCUAAGGUGUCUUGGCUAAUGUGUCUUGGCUAAUGUGUCUCGGCUAAUGUGUCUCGGCUAAUGUGUCUAGGCUAAUGUGUCUUGGCUAAUGUGUCUUGGCUAAGGUGUCUUGGCUAAGGUGUCUUGGCUAAGGUGUCUUGGCUAAGGUGUCUUGGCUAAUGUGUCUUGGCUAAUGUGUCUCGGCUAAGGUGUCUUGGCUAAUGUGUCUUGGCUAAGGUGUCUUGGCUAAGGUGUCUUGGCUAAGGUGUCUUGGCUAAUGUGUCUUGGCUAAGGUGUCUUGGCUAAGGUGUCUUGGCUAAGGUGUCUUGGGUAAUGUGUCUCGGCUAAUGUGUCUUGGCUAAGGUGUCUUGGCUAAUGUGUCUUGGCUAAGGUGUCUUGGAUAAUGUGUCUUGGCUAAUGUGUCUUGGCUAAUGUGUCUUGGCUAAUGUGUCUUGGCUAAUGUGUCUUGGCUAAUGUGUCUUGGCUAAUGUGUCUUGGCUAAGGUGUCUUGGAUAAUGUGUCUUGGCUAAUGUGUCUUGGCUAAUGUGUCUUGGCUAAUGUGUCUUGGCUAAUGUGUCUUGGCUAAGGUGUCUUGGCUAAUGUGUCUUGGCUAAGGUGUCUUGGCUAAUGUGUCUCGGCUAAGGUGUCUUGGCUAAUGUGUCUUGGCUAAGGUGUCUUGGCUAAGGUGUCUUGGCUAAUGUGUCUUGGCUAAGGUGUCUUGGAUAAUGUGUCUUGGCUAAUGUGUCUUGGCUAAUGUGUCUUGGCUAAUGUGUCUUGGCUAAUGUGUCUUGGCUAAGGUGUCUUGGCUAAUGUGUCUUGGCUAAGGUGUCUUGGCUAAUGUGUCUCGGCUAAGGUGUCUUGGCUAAUGUGUCUUGGCUAAGGUGUCUUGGCUAAGGUGUCUUGGCUAAGGUGUCUUGGAUAAUGUGUCUUGGCUAAUGUGUCUUGGCUAAUGUGUCUUGGCUAAUGUGUCUUGGCUAAUGUGUCUUGGCUAAGGUGUCUUGGCUAAUGUGUCUUGGCUAAGGUGUCUUGGCUAAUGUGUCUUGGCUAAGGUGUCUUGGCUAAUGUGUCUUGGCUAAUGUGUCUUGGCUAAUGUGUCUUGGCUAAUGUGUCUUGGCUAAGGUGUCUUGGAUAAUGUGUCUUGGCUAAUGUGUCUUGGCUAAUGUGUCUUGGCUAAUGUGUCUCGGCUAAUGUGUCUCGGCUAAUGUGUCUAGGUUAAUGUGUCUUGGCUAAUGUGUCUUGGCUAAGGUGUCUUGGCUAAGGUGUCUUGGCUAAGGUGUCUUGGCUAAGGUGUCUUGGCUAAUGUGUCUUGGCUAAUGUGUCUCGGCUAAGGUGUCUUGGCUAAGGUGUCUUGGCUAAGGUGUCUUGACUAAUAAGUCUCGGCUAAUGUGUCUUGGCUAAGGUGUCUUGGCUAAUGUGUCUUGGCUAAGGUGUCUUGGCUAAGGU
Molecule: long non-coding RNA, 3752 nt
Organism: Anopheles funestus (African malaria mosquito)
Lineage: Eukaryota; Metazoa; Arthropoda; Insecta; Diptera; Culicidae
Exons: 6
Source: RefSeq, a predicted model, not a curated record